AGAGUUUGAUCCUGGCUCAGGACGAACGCUGGCGGCGCGCCUAACACAUGCAAGUCGAACGGAGCUUAGAGAGCUUGCUUUUUAAGCUUAGUGGCGAACGGGUGAGUAACGCGUGAGUAACCUGCCCUAGAGUGGGGGACAACAGUUGGAAACGACUGCUAAUACCGCAUAAGCCCACGGUACCGCAUGGUACUGAGGGAAAAGGAUUUAUUCGCUUUAGGAUGGACUCGCGUCCAAUUAGCUAGUUGGUGAGGUAACGGCCCACCAAGGCGACGAUUGGUAGCCGGACUGAGAGGUUGAACGGCCACAUUGGGACUGAGACACGGCCCAGACUCCUACGGGAGGCAGCAGUGGGGGAUAUUGCACAAUGGGGGAAACCCUGAUGCAGCGACGCCGCGUGGAGGAAGAAGGUUUUCGGAUUGUAAACUCCUGUCGUUAGGGACGAUAAUGACGGUACCUAACAAGAAAGCACCGGCUAACUACGUGCCAGCAGCCGCGGUAAAACGUAGGGUGCAAGCGUUGUCCGGAAUUACUGGGUGUAAAGGGAGCGCAGGCGGGAAGACAAGUUGGAAGUGAAAACCAUGGGCUCAACCCAUGAAUUGCUUUCAAAACUGUUUUUCUUGAGUAGUGCAGAGGUAGAUGGAAUUCCCGGUGUAGCGGUGGAAUGCGUAGAUAUCGGGAGGAACACCAGUGGCGAAGGCGGUCUACUGGGCACCAACUGACGCUGAGGCUCGAAAGCAUGGGUAGCAAACAGGAUUAGAUACCCUGGUAGUCCAUGCCGUAAACGAUGAUUACUAGGUGUUGGGGGAUUGGCCCCCUCAGUGCCGCAGUUAACACAAUAAGUAAUCCACCUGGGGAGUACGACCGCAAGGUUGAAACUCAAAGGAAUUGACGGGGGCCCGCACAAGCAGUGGAGUAUGUGGUUUAAUUCGAAGCAACGCGAAGAACCUUACCAGGUCUUGACAUCCGAUGCUAAGCACAGAGAUGUGUGAAAUCCUUCGGGACAUCGAGACAGGUGGGGCAUGGUUGCCGCCACUCCGUGCCGGGAAAUGUGGGUUAAGUCCCGCAACGAGCGAACCCUUAUUGCCAGUAAUACUUUAAGAGGACUCUGGGGAACUUGCGUUUAAAAAACGGAGAAAGGGGGGGAAGACGCCAAACCUCUUGCCCUUUAUGACCGGGGUCAACCCCGUUCACAAAGGGGGUUAACAAAGAGAAGAAAAACCCGCGGGGGGCAAAACCUAAAAACAAGUUCUGUUUAAAUUGGGGGCGCACUCCCCUGCAUGAAGUCGGAAUUGCUAGUAAUCGCGGAUCAGCAUGCCGCGGUGAAUACGUUCCCGGGCCUUGUACACACCGCCCGUC
This 1359-nucleotide ribosomal RNA is filed under the name uncultured bacterium. RNAcentral's name for it is "bacterial SSU rRNA". It matches the Rfam family "Bacterial small subunit ribosomal RNA". The record is from RNAcentral.